This 509-nucleotide ribosomal RNA is filed under the name Palaemon carinicauda. RNAcentral's name for it is "partial 16S ribosomal RNA". It matches the Rfam family "Bacterial large subunit ribosomal RNA", at positions 1819 to 2597 of the family's 2925-position model. The record is from RNAcentral. Lineage: Eukaryota; Metazoa; Arthropoda; Malacostraca; Decapoda; Palaemonidae.
GGCUGUGUGGUUUAUUAGUAUAGAGUCUAGCCUGCCCACUGAGUUUUUAAAGGGCUGCGGUAAUUUGACCGUGCAAAGGUAGCAUAAUCAAUAGUCUUUUAAUUGAAGGCUUGAAUGAACGGCUGGAUAAAAGAGAAGCUGUCUUUUUUUCAAGUUAGAAUUUGACUUUUAAGUGAAAAGGCUUAAAUUAACUAAGGGGACGAUAAGACCCUAUAAAACUUAAUAAAAGGUUAAUUUUAACUAUGAAUUGUAUUUAAAAGUUGUGAAAUUCUCUUUUUAUUUUGUUGGGGCGACAUUGAUAUAAGCUGUAACUGUCUUGAUAAUAAAAUAGUUAUCACUAUGAGCUGAUCCUUUUUUAGGGAUAAUAAGUAUAAGUUACUUUAGGGAUAACAGCGUAAUUUUUUCUGAGAGUUCUUAUCGAAGAAAGUAGUUGCGACCUCGAUGUUGAAUUAAAAUUUCAUGCAGGUGUAGCCGCUUGCCGUGUGGGUCUGUUCGACCUUUAAAAUUUU